CCUACGGGUGGCAGCAGUAGGGAAUAUUGCUCAAUGGGGGAAACCCUGAAGCAGCAACGCCGCGUGGAGGAUGAAGGUUUUCGGAUUGUAAACUCCUUUUGUUAGAGAAGAUAAUGACGGUAUCUAACGAAUAAGCACCGGCUAACGCCGUGCCAGCAGCCGCGGUAAUACGGAGGGUGCAAGCGUUACUCGGAAUGACUGGACGUAAAGAGCGCGUAGGCGGGAUAGCAAGUCAGAUGUGAAAUCCUAGGGCUUAACCAUAGAACUGCAUUUGAAACUGUUAUUCUAGAGUAUGGGAGAGGUAGGUGGAAUUCUUGGUGUAGGGGUAAAAUCCGUAGAGAUCAAGAGGAAUACUCAUUGCGAAGGCGACCUGCUAGAACAUAACUGACGCUGAUGCGCGAAAGCGUGGGGAGCAAACAGGAUUAGAUACCCCUGUAGUC
RNAcentral lists this ribosomal RNA (440 nucleotides) under uncultured bacterium. RNAcentral describes it as "partial 16S ribosomal RNA". It matches the Rfam family "Bacterial small subunit ribosomal RNA", at positions 338 to 795 of the family's 1533-position model. The record is from RNAcentral.